AUGCAAUAAACGCAUUUGUGUUACUUAUGUAUUUACCUUCUUUGUAAUGUCACCUGAUGAAUAAUUUGCACCAAUGAAGUCAGAUAUUAAACUAAUUUGUGAAGAUCGCCCAUGUGGAUCAAUCUGAUUAAAUAGAAAAAUAUAAAGGCACCUGACAGAAAUCGACAGCUAAUAUCAGUGAUAUUAAAAAAUAAUUGGAUUUUGGUGAUUGUUUCUUAUAUAAUUUGAAAAAAAUAGUCACUGAGCAAAGUGACAGCAAUGCCAGGAUGGUUUCAAAAGGACUCCCUCCAAGAAGUAAUAAAUACUGGGGAUUGAGCUAAGAAAUGGACUACUGAAAAAAUGGACUCAAACAAAUAUAAUAAGUGUUCCUGUGUUUAUUUCACAAAAUAUAUGAACUAUGAAAAAUGUGUUUCUAUUUUGUUAAUUACAAACAAAUUUUAAUAUUGAAGGA
Molecule: long non-coding RNA, 451 nt
Organism: Schistocerca nitens (vagrant locust)
Lineage: Eukaryota; Metazoa; Arthropoda; Insecta; Orthoptera; Acrididae
Exons: 3
Source: RefSeq, a predicted model, not a curated record